GAUUGCGAUCAUACCAGCACUAAUGCACCGGAUCCCAUCAGGACUCCGUAGUUAAGCGUGCUUGGGUGAGAGUAGUACUAAGAUGGGUGACCCCCUGGGAAGUCCUCGUGUUGCAACUC
RNAcentral lists this ribosomal RNA (119 nucleotides) under Helianthus annuus (common sunflower). Lineage: Eukaryota; Viridiplantae; Streptophyta; Magnoliopsida; Asterales; Asteraceae. The record is from RNAcentral.